UGAGUUGAGUAGAUGGUCGCGUCCUGAUUGUAGUUUUACUUUCGGGAUGAGGAAAGUCCGGACUCCGUAGGGCAGGAUGCUGGGUAACCCCCAGGAGCGGCGACGCUAUGGAAAGUGCAACAGAAAGUAGACUACAACAAUUUUAACUAUGGGCCCUCUUGCUCAUUUUUUGACGUUGUCAAAAAAUGGGUUGUGUUAAAAUCAAGUGAUAUGUUCCGCAGAUAGUGGGACUAUUGAUUUUAAAACAGAUCGCCUUCGGACAACGGACGAAGGCGAAGAAGUUAGCACAUGGUUAAAAGAAUGUUGUACAGGUGAAACGGUGUGGUAAAAGCGCACCAGUCCAUAAGGUGACUUAUGGAGCUAUGUAAACCCCGUCUGGAGCAAGGUAAAUCGAGGACAUGUAGAGGUUGCCCGCCUCGUUCUCAGGUAACCGCUUGAGGUGGAUGGUAACAUCCAUCCCAGAUGAAUGAUCAUCGCAUACAGAAUCCGGCUUAUUCUCAACUCAAGUU
Molecule: RNase P RNA, 509 nt
Filed under: Candidatus Poribacteria bacterium
Lineage: Bacteria; Candidatus Poribacteria
Description: RNase P RNA component class A
Rfam family: Bacterial RNase P class A
About the family: Ribonuclease P (RNase P) is a ubiquitous endoribonuclease, found in archaea, bacteria and eukarya as well as chloroplasts and mitochondria. Its best characterised activity is the generation of mature 5'-ends of tRNAs by cleaving the 5'-leader elements of precursor-tRNAs. Cellular RNase Ps are ribonucleoproteins.
Source: RNAcentral